Molecule: small RNA, 53 nt
Filed under: Plasmodium falciparum 3D7
Lineage: Eukaryota; Apicomplexa; Aconoidasida; Haemosporida; Plasmodiidae
Description: Pfa-starR6918
Source: RNAcentral
CUACUCGGUUGGGCACUAAGGUCAGGUUUAGCUGUUCUUUAGUUCUGAAGGGG